Molecule: non-coding RNA, 489 nt
Organism: Cucurbita pepo subsp. pepo (vegetable marrow)
Lineage: Eukaryota; Viridiplantae; Streptophyta; Magnoliopsida; Cucurbitales; Cucurbitaceae
Source: RefSeq, a predicted model, not a curated record
GUAACGGAAAGUAGAUAAGGCCUUCACGUUAAUUUCCCGAGCAAAAUUUCAAAUGGCAUCUUUGAAAAAAAAAUGGAAGCCGAGGCCGAAUGAUGAAGCUUCGUAAUCCAGUUUCCGCAACGCCAACAUGGCGGAUCGAGGUUCAUCCAGUUGACUCGGCCCUCUUCCGAUUCCGGAUUGGCAGGUACUCCGCACCGGUAUCGUUGAAAAAUAUGAUUAAAGACCCUCCCGCUCCAUCAAUGUCAUGCACAAAUAAUUAUUUUUUCUAUGUAAGUAAAAUAUUUUAUUAGUAGUUUUUUUUUGUUAUGCAUCAUUUAUUUAAACUAUUUAUUUUUAUUAUUUUUAUAUAAUGUGUGCUCUUGAAGUUUGUGCUCAAGUUUGUAGAAAGAUGAAUUACUUGCCCUUUUACAAAAACUAAAUUUUUUUGUUGAAUGAUUAUAUAUUGUGAACGUAGAUAAAUUAAUUAUAUGUAGGUAACGUUGAAAUUGA